RNAcentral lists this ribosomal RNA (253 nucleotides) under uncultured bacterium. RNAcentral describes it as "partial 16S ribosomal RNA". It matches the Rfam family "Bacterial small subunit ribosomal RNA", at positions 524 to 776 of the family's 1533-position model. The record is from RNAcentral.
UACGUAGGGAGCAAGCGUUGUCCGGAAUCAUUGGGCGUAAAGCGCGCGUAGGUGGCCUCAUAAGUCCGCUGUGAAAGUCAAAGGCUCAACCUUUGAAAGCCGGUGGAUACUGUGAGGCUAGAGUACGGAAGGGGCGAGUGGAAUUCCUGGUGUAGCGGUGGAAUGCGCAGAUAUCAGGAGGAACACCAAUAGCGAAGGCAGCUCGCUGGGACGUCACUGACGCUAAGACGCGAAAGCGUGGGGAGCAAACAGG